Molecule: ribosomal RNA, 391 nt
Filed under: uncultured bacterium
Lineage: Bacteria
Description: bacterial SSU rRNA
Rfam family: Bacterial small subunit ribosomal RNA
Source: RNAcentral
AUUGAACGCUGGCGGCAGGCCUAACACAUGCAAGUCGAAUGGUAACAGGAAACAGCUUGCUGUUUCGCUGACGAGUGGCGGACGGGUGAGUAAUGUCUGGGAAACUGCCUGAUGGAGGGGGAUAACUACUGGAAACGGUAGCUAAUACCGCAUAACGUCGCAAGACCAAAGAGGGGGACCUUCGGGCCUCUUGCCAUCAGAUGUGCCCAGAUGGGAUUAGCUAGUAGGUGGGUAACGGCUCACCUAGGCGACGAUCCCUAGCUGGUCUGAGAGGAUGACCAGCCACACUGGAACUGAGACACGGUCCAGACUCCUACGGGAGGCAGCAGUGGGGAAUAUUGCACAAUGGGCGCAAGCCUGAUGCAGCCAUGCCGCGUGUAUGAAGAAGGCC